RNAcentral lists this ribosomal RNA (465 nucleotides) under Vreelandella stevensii. Its description in RNAcentral is "partial 16S ribosomal RNA". It matches the Rfam family "Bacterial small subunit ribosomal RNA", at positions 338 to 795 of the family's 1533-position model. Lineage: Bacteria; Pseudomonadati; Pseudomonadota; Gammaproteobacteria; Oceanospirillales; Halomonadaceae. The record is from RNAcentral.
CCUACGGGCGGCUGCAGUGGGGAAUAUUGGACAAUGGGGGCAACCCUGAUCCAGCCAUGCCGCGUGUGUGAAGAAGGCCCUCGGGUUGUAAAGCACUUUCAGUGAGGAAGAACGCCUGGUGGUUAAUACCCAUCAGGAAAGACAUCACUCACAGAAGAAGCACCGGCUAACUCCGUGCCAGCAGCCGCGGUAAUACGGAGGGUGCGAGCGUUAAUCGGAAUUACUGGGCGUAAAGCGCGCGUAGGUGGCUUGAUAAGCCGGUUGUGAAAGCCCCGGGCUCAACCUGGGAACGGCAUCCGGAACUGUCAAGCUAGAGUACAGGAGAGGAAGGUGGAAUUCCCGGUGUAGCGGUGAAAUGCGUAGGGAUCGGGAGGAAUACCAGUGGCGAAGGCGGCCUUCUGGACUGACACUGACACUGAGGUGCGAAAGCGUGGGUAGCAAACAGGAUUAGAUACCCUUGUAGUC